GUGCCAGCAGCCGCGGUCAUACGGAGGAUCCAAGCGUUAUCCGGAAUUACUGGGCGUAAAGAGUUGCGUAGGUGGCAUAGUAAGUAGGUAGUGAAAGCGUGUGGCUCAACCAUACUCACAUUAUCUAAACUGCUAAGCUAGAAUGUAGAAGAGGUAGCUGGAAUUCCUAGUGUAGGAGUGAAAUCCGUAGAUAUUAGGAGGAACACCAAUGGCGUAGGCAGGCUACUGGUCUAUCAUUGACACUAAGGCACGAAAGCGUGGGGAGCGAACGGGAUUAGAUACCCCGGUAGUCCACGCCGUAAACGAUGGAUGCUAGCUGUUAGAGGUAUCGACCCCUCUAGUAGCGAAGCUAACGCGUUAAGCAUCCCGCCUGUGGAGUACGAGCGCAAGCUUAAA
This 396-nucleotide ribosomal RNA is filed under the name uncultured bacterium. RNAcentral's name for it is "bacterial SSU rRNA". It matches the Rfam family "Bacterial small subunit ribosomal RNA", at positions 505 to 898 of the family's 1533-position model. The record is from RNAcentral.